This 1353-nucleotide ribosomal RNA is filed under the name Aphrocallistes vastus (cloud sponge). Its description in RNAcentral is "SSU rRNA". It matches the Rfam family "Eukaryotic small subunit ribosomal RNA". Lineage: Eukaryota; Metazoa; Porifera; Hexactinellida; Sceptrulophora; Aphrocallistidae. The record is from RNAcentral.
CGCGCGACCAGAAAAUGCAUGUCGAGUAUAAAAACUGCGAAUGGCUCAUUAAAUCAGUUCUAGUUUCUUUGAUGGUUGGAUAACCGUAGUAACAUAGAGAUACAUGCUUGAAUUCCUGACGGUGAUUCAUGCUAACUUUUCGGAUCGCAUGGGCGCUGGCGACGCUUCAUACAAGUUUCUGCCCUAUCAACUGUCGAUGGUAGGGUAUUGGCCUACCAUGUUGUAACGGGGACGGAGAAUUAGGGUUCGAUUCCGGAGAGGCUGAGAACGGCUACCACAUCUGGCAGCAGGCGCGCAAUUACCAAUCCCGACCUGGGGAGGUAGUGACAAUAAAUAACAAUGCGGGUUCUGCAAUUGGAAUGAGACAAUGUAAAUAACGAGAGCAAGGGCAAGUCUGGUGCCUUCCAGCUCCAAUAGCGUAUAUUAAAGUUGUUGGAUUUCGGAAGUCGGGUGGUCUGCCAGUGGUAGCCUCCCUCGGAGACGAGGUCUGUCCUUCACUGGCUUUAUGCGAGGUGUUUACUUUGAAAAAAUUAGAGUGUUCAAAGCAGGCUGAAUACAUUAGCAUGGAAUAAUGGAAUAGGAUUUUGUUGGUUUGAAGGAGAGAGUAAUGAUUAAUAGGGACAGUUGGGGGCAUUCGUAUUAAUUGUCAGAGGUGAAUUCUUGGAUUUCUGAAAGACGAACAACUGCGAAAGCAUUUGCCAAGGAUGUUUCAUUAAUCAAGAACGAAAGUUUUCGAAGACGAUCAGAUACCGUCGUAGUCCUAACCAUAAACAAUGCCGACUAGGGAUCAGCGUAGGACGUCGUUGGCACCUUACGAGAAAUCAAAGUUUUUGGGUUCUGGAGUAUGGUCACAAGGCUGAAACUUAAAGAAUUGACGGAAGGGCCAGGAGUGGAGCUUAUUUGACUCAACACGGGAAACCUCAGUCCGGACAUCGUUAGGAUUGACAGAUUGAGAGCUCUUUCUUGAUUCUAUGGGUGGUGGUGGUACGAUAUUCAAGCUAGAGUUAUUUCAAGUUUUAUUCCGUUCGCGAACUAGACCUUCCUCUUCUAAGGAGUAAAAAGCACGCCCCCUUUUAUGGACAGUAGAUCACGGAGGCAAUAUCACGUCUGUGAUGCCCUUAGAUGUUCUGGGGCGCGCGCGCGCUACACUGAUCAAGUCAACAAGCCUUCCCCCUAAGGCGUGGGUAAUCUUGUAAACUGGAUGGUGCUGGGGAUAGAUCAAGGCAAUUUCUGAUCUUGAACGAGGAAUUCCUAGUAAGCGCAAGUCAUCAACCCGCUCUGAUCACGCCCCUGCCCAAGACCGCCCCUCCCGUCCCUCCCACCGAAUCAAGGAAUUGCUGAGGUAUCCGGAUU